GCUUACGGCCAUACCACACUGAGCACGCCCGAUCUCGUCCGAUCUCGGAAAGCUAAGCCAGUGUCGGGCGCUGGUUAGUAGUUGGAUGGGGAGACCGCCUGGGAAUACCAGGUGCUGUAAGCU
Molecule: ribosomal RNA, 123 nt
Organism: Clupea harengus (Atlantic herring)
Lineage: Eukaryota; Metazoa; Chordata; Actinopteri; Clupeiformes; Clupeidae
Source: Ensembl